Molecule: unclassified non-coding RNA, 229 nt
Filed under: Hevea brasiliensis (rubber tree)
Lineage: Eukaryota; Viridiplantae; Streptophyta; Magnoliopsida; Malpighiales; Euphorbiaceae
Source: RNAcentral
AAGAAGAAGAGUUUGAGGACUUGCCCCGCAACGCAAUGCAAUUAACUGGCUACAUAGGUGACCGGCAACAAACGUUUCCGCCUCGAAUGAUGGUGACUGGCAACAUGAUGCAGAUUUGGAUCUGUAAGGUUCCAUGCUUUUCUUCGUUAAUGAUUGGCAUUUGAGUUUUUGUAAAAAUUUUCAUUUGCUCUGAUUAGCAUUUGCCCUGGAUUUGGUUUCUUAAUAAAAA